CCAGGGGGUGGCUGGGCUCCUUCUCCCCCGCUCCGAGGGGGAAGGGGAGCCCUGCAGCCCCCCAGCUCUGCCUAGGGCAGAGUUAGAGACAGCAUUGGAGUGAGUGAGUGUUUGUGAGGGACGUGACUCACAAACAACUGGUAAGCGAGAGAGAGAGAGAGGCAGGCCUUGCGACCAGGCCUUCUUCUUCUUCCCCCCCCCUUUUUGCAGCCAGGCUGCAGAAGGGGCUGUUUUUCCUCUCACUGUUUAGUGGGAGUGGUGCAAGGCUCAGCAUUGAAGCAGAGCCAAGUGGACGGGCUGAUAAUGGAGCAGCUCGGCGCUAGGGAAAAGAAUCCCAGGCGAAAUUGGAGACAGGCCAAAGGGCUCGGGAAUUGCCCUACAGAGAUUUGACCAGGGGCAGCCGAAAACUGACUUGGAGGAAUGAAGAUUCCAAACGCCUACUGUGAUAAGCUACACUACAGCAGCAGUGAACCGAGGUAUGAGACUGAGAGGGAGAGAUCACACAGCAGAAAUGACACAGGACCAAGGAGAAAGGACUCAGAGCUACCUUCUUGGACUUGUGAAAAUUGGGUCACUUAUGAAGAGUCUUAGAGACUCCAUCUCACCUUCCUGUCCUGCUGGAGAUGGUUCAAACACAAAUCUCUCACCUUUCCUCCAUAUGAGAGGCUCAGCCACUGUGAUGCUGGUACAGGAGCUGGAGUGUGGUGUGAGUGGGCAGAAAGUGUCUGUUGUCUCUCUAACUGAAGCUGUUCCACUGAACAGAAAAACCUUCUCAAAUAAACAGAUCAACAAGACCUUGUAUCCUCUGGUAGUUUUUACAGUCACCUAGCAGAAAUCUGCAUACCAACCCUUCACCAACAUGCAUUUGCAUGCCUUUAUAUGGAAAAAUCAUUGGAAAAUAUAUUAAAAAAUCUGACCCUGUGA
This is a long non-coding RNA of Pipra filicauda (Wire-tailed manakin), 924 nucleotides long. RefSeq lists it as uncharacterized. The transcript has 2 exons. The record is from RefSeq and is a predicted model, not a curated record. NCBI's taxonomy places the organism in Eukaryota, Metazoa, Chordata, Aves, Passeriformes, Pipridae.